Molecule: long non-coding RNA, 945 nt
Filed under: Junco hyemalis (dark-eyed junco)
Lineage: Eukaryota; Metazoa; Chordata; Aves; Passeriformes; Passerellidae
Description: lncRNA (ENSJHYG00000011219.1)
Source: RNAcentral
CAAAGGUGUUCUUUGGCCCAAAUUUCCAAACCCUCUAGUUCUUCAUCUAAAACUUGGUCUGCAGGGGAAGAGCAUCAAGCAAAUGGCAGUGGGAUGGAUCAAAGCAAAUGCUCUGGGCUACACCUUGCUCUUGAGGGAUGCUCUGGGGACAAAGAUGUCUGCUGGUACUUCAUCACAAUGCAUCUCCUGUGAUCAAGACUCAGUCCCUGUGGUGCCCAGCUGCUCAUUUUUGCCCAGACAUUCUUCAGGUCUCCAUCAUUUGUCUCAAAUUCCAUGGGAAAGGGACUGGGGGAGGUCACUCCCAUGCUUCACAUAUGAGGUACAAAUUAAAUUACUUUUUACCUGUCCUACUUAAUAUAAAUCAAAUAUUUCCUUUUUGUAGAUUUAUUAUUUACUCUAGAAAAUGGUGAUGUUAAUGUUCACUUCCUCCCUAGGCUUGGAUACCCAAAGACACAGUGAGUUUUCACCAAAUGUUCCUCAGAGAACAACUCAGUCUGAGAAAUCCUCCCACAAAUCCUGCACUUAUGCACGUGAUCAGCCCUGCCAAUCCACUGCAGACUGCAAACAGCCUCUGACAGGAUUCCAAACAGUUAAUGUCAAAUAGCUCAUUUUCUCUCAUCUCCAUACAAAUUCCUGUCAUGUUGCAUUACAUGUAAACAACUGAGAAGCUUAAUGGCAUGCCUUUCAGUCAAAAAUUCAUAUGGCUUUUCAAUCUGAGCAGAUUAAUUGCAGUUUGUAACAAUAUGAAGUAAUUCAAUUUGAUUAGAGUUUCUAUUGUUCUUUGAGAUAAAAUAUUUUAUGUGAAUGUAAAGCCAAGUUUUCUGCUGGCACAACUUUAUUGACUUCUGUGGAAAUAUAAAAUACUCAUCUAAAAUCCAUAGUAUAUCAUUGUUGGUGUGCUGUACAGUAAAUAAAUUUUAUAAGCUUCUGUAAAUUCUAUGUGCC